UACGAAGGGGGCUAGCGUUGCUCGGAAUUACUGGGCGUAAAGCGCACGUAGGCGGCUUUCUAAGUCGGGGGUGAAAUCCUGGAGCUCAACUCCAGAACUGCCUUCGAUACUGGAGAGCUCGAGUCCGGAAGAGGCGGGUGGAAUUCCUGGUGUAGCGGUGAAAUGCGCAGAUAUCAGGAGGAACACCGAUGGCGAAGGCAGCUCGCUGGGACGGUACUGACGCUGAGGCGCGAAAGCGUGGGGAGCAAACAGG
This 253-nucleotide ribosomal RNA is filed under the name uncultured bacterium. RNAcentral's name for it is "partial 16S ribosomal RNA". It matches the Rfam family "Bacterial small subunit ribosomal RNA", at positions 524 to 776 of the family's 1533-position model. The record is from RNAcentral.